GACGAACGCUGGCGGCGUGUUUAACACAUGCAAGUCGAACGAUGAAGCUGGAGCUUGCUCUAGCGGAUUAGUGGCGAACGGGUGAGUAACACGUGAGCAAUCUGCCCUUGACUCUGGGAUAACUGCGGGAAACUGUAGCUAAUACCGGAUACUUUCACCGGGGGGCAUCCUCUGGUGAUGAAAGAAUUUCGGUCAAGGAUGAGCUCGCGGCCUAUCAGCUUGUUGGUGAGGUAACGGCUCACCAAGGCGACGACGGGUAACCGGCCUGAGAGGGUGACCGGCCACACUGGGACUGAGACACGGCCCAGACUCCUACGGGAGGCAGCAGUGGGGAAUAUUGCACAAUGGGCGCAAGCCUGAUGCAGCAACGCCGCGUGAGGGAUGAAGGCCUUCGGGUUGUAAACCUCUUUUAGCAGGGAAGAGGCGAAAGUGACGGUACCUGCAGAAAAAGCACCGGCUAACUACGUGCCAGCCGCCGCGGUAA
This 484-nucleotide ribosomal RNA is filed under the name uncultured bacterium. RNAcentral's name for it is "partial 16S ribosomal RNA". It matches the Rfam family "Bacterial small subunit ribosomal RNA", at positions 28 to 523 of the family's 1533-position model. The record is from RNAcentral.